GGCGGUAUAGCUCGGUGGUAGAGCAUGUGCUGGUCCUGGGUUCAAUCCCCAGUAACUCCG
This 60-nucleotide transfer RNA is filed under the name Camelus bactrianus (Bactrian camel). It matches the Rfam family "tRNA". Rfam says of the family: Transfer RNA (tRNA) molecules are approximately 80 nucleotides in length. The record is from Rfam by way of RNAcentral. Lineage: Eukaryota; Metazoa; Chordata; Mammalia; Artiodactyla; Camelidae. RNAcentral also lists the same sequence under 1 other name.